Molecule: ribosomal RNA, 581 nt
Filed under: uncultured bacterium
Lineage: Bacteria
Description: bacterial SSU rRNA
Rfam family: Bacterial small subunit ribosomal RNA
Source: RNAcentral
AAGGCAAUGAUGCGUAGCCGAAUUGAGAGGUUGAUCGGCCACAUUGGGACUGAGACACGGCCCAAACUCCUACGGGAGGCAGCAGUAGGGAAUCUUCCACAAUGGGCGAAAGCCUGAUGGAGCAACGCCGCGUGGGUGAAGAAGGUCUUCGGAUCGUAAAACCCUGUUGUUAGAGAAGAAAGUGCGUGAGAGUAACUGUUCACGUUUCGACGGUAUCUAACCAGAAAGCCACGGCUAACUACGUGCCAGCAGCCGCGGUAAUACGUAGGUGGCAAGCGUUAUCCGGAUUUAUUGGGCGUAAAGGGAACGCAGGCGGUCUUUUAAGUCUGAUGUGAAAGCCUUCGGCUUAACCGGAGUAGUGCAUUGGAAACUGGGAGACUUGAGUGCAGAAGAGGAGAGUGGAACUCCAUGUGUAGCGGUGAAAUGCGUAGAUAUAUGGAAGAACACCAGUGGCGAAAGCGGCUCUCUGGUCUGUAACUGACGCUGAGGUUCGAAAGCGUGGGUAGCAAACAGGAUUAGAUACCCUGGUAGUCCACGCCGUAAACGAUGAAUGCUAAGUGUUGGAGGGUUUCCGCCCUUCA